CACGAAUACAGUUUAAUUGCCAUGGAGCCAAAGUCUUUAAUUCCACGAACAGGCUCCAUGGCAUGGCUAUCUGGGUUAAAACAUACCUCCAACAUAAAAUACCAAAUUUACAUGCAUUCGUUAAAUCCGUACGAAUUAGAACCAGGGGUUGGAGGUUCAGCGGUGCCUGCACGUAAAAGUGUCCGGGUUUGGUGCAGGAAAGCCGGGCAGAAAAGCGCUGGCUGCCCGGGGAGCUCCAGAACACCGCCAUCGUGUGGCGGCUAAGUGUAACCGCGACCACCCAGUAACAAUCAAUUAAGCUGCGGCUAACCGCAGCUACUGGGUGGUCAAUUGCCG
Molecule: long non-coding RNA, 336 nt
Filed under: Pelobates cultripes (western spadefoot toad)
Lineage: Eukaryota; Metazoa; Chordata; Amphibia; Anura; Pelobatidae
Source: RNAcentral